Python bivittatus (Burmese python) is the source of this 495-nucleotide long non-coding RNA. RefSeq lists it as uncharacterized. Lineage: Eukaryota; Metazoa; Chordata; Lepidosauria; Squamata; Pythonidae. The record is from RefSeq and is a predicted model, not a curated record.
UUUACCUUUUAUCAUGCUCUUUAAUAGAUUCAGCAAGUGUCUCAACCGACCAGGCAAAGAGCAAUGGGCAAAGUCAACUCUGCCAUAGCUCUUUGGAAAUGGAUAAACCAUAGAAAGCAACUAAUUGACUCUGGCAUGCAGCCUAUCUUUAAAUCCAGCUCUGAAAUCCAGGCUCAAGCAGAGGUAUCCCUGUAAGGAUACCAGAAGCAUAUCCUACUGUUAGUUGCUGGCCUUGCUUCUACUGGGCGCUCCAGCUGACUGAUGUGUGCUUACCUGUAAGGAAUCCAAGCUGAUCCUCCAAAUGAUUCUAUUAUGAAUCACUACCUCUCUAUUCUAAAUGAUGGGCAAUUGGCUAGGAGAAAGGCAGUCAUUGGAAUUUCUACAAAAUUACCCAGACCUCACCCACUCCUAGAGACUCUGUCAUUCAUGGACGCUUUGUGGUAGCUGGAGAGGGCAUGCAUCUGAGCAGGAAAUGGGCAGAUUUCUAGAAGUAUU